Molecule: ribosomal RNA, 229 nt
Filed under: uncultured bacterium
Lineage: Bacteria
Description: partial 16S ribosomal RNA
Rfam family: Bacterial small subunit ribosomal RNA
Source: RNAcentral
CGGGGUGAGUAAUGCUUGGGAAUCUAGCUUAUGGAGGGGGGUAACUACGGGAAACUGUAGCUAAUACCGCGUAGUAUCGAGAGAUGAAAGUGUGGGACCUUCGGGCCACAUGCCAUAGGAUGAGCCCAAGUGGGAUUAGGUAGUUGGUGAGGUAAAGGCUCACCAAGCCGACGAUCUCUAGCUGGUCUGAGAGGAUGACCAGCCACACUGGGACUGGGACACGGCCCAG